UACGUAGGUGGCAAGCGUUGUCCGGAUUUACUGGGCGUAAAGCGUGCGCAGGCGGUUCGUUAAGUUCGUUGUGAAAGCCCCGGGCUCAACCUGGGAACUGCAAUGGAAACUGGCGGGCUUGAGUGUGGCAGAGGGGGGUGGAAUUCCGCGUGUAGCAGUGAAAUGCGUAGAGAUGCGGAGGAACACCGAUGGCGAAGGCAGCCCCCUGGGCCAACACUGACGCUCAGGCACGAAAGCGUGGGGAGCAAACAGG
This 253-nucleotide ribosomal RNA is filed under the name uncultured bacterium. Its description in RNAcentral is "partial 16S ribosomal RNA". It matches the Rfam family "Bacterial small subunit ribosomal RNA", at positions 524 to 776 of the family's 1533-position model. The record is from RNAcentral.